GACGUCGAAUAUCGACGUCAUAAACACCAAAGUUGAUCGUGUUUAUGACGUCGAAUAUCGUGUUUAUGACGUCAUAAACACCAAAGUUGACCGUGUUUAUGACGUCGAAUAUCGACGUC
Paramuricea clavata is the source of this 119-nucleotide non-coding RNA. The record is from the annotation of a GenBank genome assembly. Lineage: Eukaryota; Metazoa; Cnidaria; Anthozoa; Malacalcyonacea; Plexauridae.